RNAcentral lists this ribosomal RNA (443 nucleotides) under uncultured Anaerolineaceae bacterium. RNAcentral describes it as "bacterial SSU rRNA". It matches the Rfam family "Bacterial small subunit ribosomal RNA", at positions 925 to 1382 of the family's 1533-position model. Lineage: Bacteria; Bacillati; Chloroflexota; Anaerolineae; Anaerolineales; Anaerolineaceae. The record is from RNAcentral.
ACAAGCAGCGGAGCGUGUGGUUAAUUCGAUGACUACACGUAAGAACCUUACCAGGGUUUGACAUACAAGUAGUAGGGAAAGGAAACUGGACGACCUUCGGGAGCUUGUACAGGUGCUGCAUGGCUGUCGUCAGCUCGUGUCGUGAGAUGUCGGUUAAGUCCGCUAACGAGCGCAACCCUCGCUGUGUGUUACAAGUGUCACACGGAACUGCCGGUCAUAAACCGGAGGAAGGUGGGGAUGACGUCAAGUCAGCAUGGCCUUUAUAUCCUGGGCUACACACACGCUACAAUGGGAAGGGACAAUAGGUUGCGAAGCCGCGAGGCGGAGCCAAUCCAGCAAAACUUCCCUCAGUUCAGAUUGCAGGCUGCAACUCGCCUGCAUGAAGUUGGAGUUGCUAGUAAACGCAGGUCAGCCAUACUGCGUUGAAUACGUUCCCGGGGCUU